AUCAACUUUCGAUGGUAGGAUAGAGNCCUACCAUGGUGGUAACGGGUAACGGGGUGUUAGGGCACGACACCGGAGAGGGAGCCUGAGAAACGGCUACCACAUCCAAGGAUGGCAGCAGGCGNNCAAAUUACCCAAUCCCGACACGGGGAGGUAGUGACAAUAAAUAACAAUACGGGGUUCUUUAGGAUCUCGUAAUUGGAAUGAGUACAAUUUAAAUCUCUUAACGAGGAACAAUUGGAGGGCAAGUCUGGUGCCAGCAGCCGCGGUAAUUCCAGCUCCAAUAGCGUAUAUUAAAGUUGUUGCAGUUAAAAAGCUCGUAGUUGAAUUUCGGGGUCAGUAGGUUGGUCGUGCCACCGGUACGUACUGGUCUCACUGAUUCCUCCUUCCUGAUGAGCUGUAAUGCCAUUAAUUUGGUGUUACGGGGAAUUAGGACUGUUACCUUGAAAAAAUUAGAGUGUUUAAAGCAGGCUCACGCUUGAAUACAUUAGCAUGGAAUAAUGAAAUAGGACAUCCGAUUCUAUUUUGUUGGUUUCUAGGAUCGAUGUAAUGAUUAAUAGGGAUAGUUGGGGGCAUUAGUAUUCAAUUGUCAGAGGUGAAAUUCUUGGAUUUAUUGAAGACUAACUACUGCGAAAGCAUUUGCCAAGGAUGUUUUCAUUAAUCAAGAACGAAAGUUAGGGGAUCGAAGACGAUCAGAUACCGUCGUAGUCUUAACCAUAAACUAUGCCGACUAGGGAUCGGAUGAUGUUAAUUUUUUAAUGACUCAUUNGGCGCCUUACGGGAAACCAAAGUGUUUGGGUUC
Molecule: ribosomal RNA, 799 nt
Filed under: uncultured Glomus
Lineage: Eukaryota; Fungi; Glomeromycota; Glomeromycetes; Glomerales; Glomeraceae
Description: SSU rRNA
Rfam family: Eukaryotic small subunit ribosomal RNA
Source: RNAcentral